This 253-nucleotide ribosomal RNA is filed under the name uncultured bacterium. Its description in RNAcentral is "partial 16S ribosomal RNA". It matches the Rfam family "Bacterial small subunit ribosomal RNA", at positions 524 to 776 of the family's 1533-position model. The record is from RNAcentral.
UACGGAGGGGGCUAGCGUUGUUCGGAAUUACUGGGCGUAAAGCGCGCGUAGGCGGCUUUGUAAGUUAGAGGUGAAAGCCCGGAGCUCAACUCCGGAAUUGCCUUUAAGACUGCAUCGCUAGAAUCAUGGAGAGGUGAGUGGAAUUCCGAGUGUAGAGGUGAAAUUCGCAGAUAUCGGGAGGAACACCAAUGGCGAAGGCAGCUCGCUGGGACGGUACUGACGCUGAGACGCGAAAGCGUGGGGAGCAAACAGG